CCUACGGGUGGCAGCAGUCGAGAAUCUUUCACAAUGGGGGAAACCCUGAUGCUGCGACGCCGCGUGGGGGAAUGAAGGUCUUCGGAUUGUAAACCCCUGUCAUGUGGGAGCAAAUGAAAAAGAUAGUACCACAAGAGGAAGAGACGGCUAACUCCGUGCCAGCAGCCGCGGUAAUACGGAGGGCUCAAGCGUUGUUCGGAAGCACUGGGCGUAAGGCGUGCGUAGGCGGUUUCGUAAGUCGUGUGUGAAAGGCGCGGGCUCAACCCGCGGACGGCACAUGAUACUGCGAGGCUAGAGUAAUGGAGAGGGAAGCGGAAUUCUCGGUGUAGCAGUGAAAUGCGUAGAUAUCGGGAGGAACACUCGUGGCGAAGGCGGGUUCCUGGACAUUAACUGACGCUGAGGCACGAAGGCCAGGGGAGCGAAAGGGAUUAGAUACCCGGGUAGUC
RNAcentral lists this ribosomal RNA (446 nucleotides) under uncultured bacterium. RNAcentral describes it as "partial 16S ribosomal RNA". It matches the Rfam family "Bacterial small subunit ribosomal RNA", at positions 338 to 795 of the family's 1533-position model. The record is from RNAcentral.